RNAcentral lists this non-coding RNA (36 nucleotides) under unclassified sequences. The record is from RNAcentral.
CAUAGGGAGGCCGAAAACUAUUAAUUAGAGUAGGCA